UACGGAAUGUGCAAACGUUAUUCGGAAUCACUGGGCUUAAAGAGUCCGUAGGCGGCUUGUUAGGUGAGGUGUGAAAUCCCCCGGCUCAACCGAGGAAUUGCGCUUCAAACCGGCAAGCUCGAGGAAGAUAGAGGUGGGCGGAACUGAUGGUGGAGCGGUGAAAUGCGUUGAUAUCAUCAGGAACACCGGAGGCGAAAGCGGCCCACUGGGUCUUUUCUGACGCUGAGGGACGAAAGCUAGGGGAGCGAACGGG
RNAcentral lists this ribosomal RNA (253 nucleotides) under uncultured prokaryote. Its description in RNAcentral is "partial 16S ribosomal RNA". It matches the Rfam family "Bacterial small subunit ribosomal RNA", at positions 524 to 776 of the family's 1533-position model. The record is from RNAcentral.